CAGACCGCACACUCCUUUUCUCUGAUCCUCCUUCUCCUCUUCUCUCCGUGUAAGCCUGCAAAAUCCUCUGUGAUUUGUUUUUAUAAAUAUAUUUUUGUUUGAGUUUGAUGGGUAAAUAUGAUAUAAAAAGCAAGCAGGGAUUGUGUGUAUCGGCGUAGUGCUAGAAUCAAUGCACUCUGAUCCGAAAGAGUUCCCUGCAACAUCAAACCAAAAGGGGAAGGUGGGCAGUUGUUCUUCAUCCGCCUGUUGAAAUUUCAACAAUCAUCUUCCCCAUAUUCCUUUCUUUUCUUUUAUUAACCCUCUCUCGUAAUUAAGGUUCCUGGGUUUUGAUUCGUUUGUUACUUUUUUAUUCCAUGUUUUUGUAUGGUUUAAAUUGAACUUAUAGGCUAUAUUAGCUUGAAAUUGUUUCUGGAAUUUGGGUUUCUCUCUGUUUUCUUUGUGAUUAUUGAAGCUCAAAUCUGGAUUAAAUAGUUUCUUAAAUACAAUUAACAAAAACACGAGUAUUAAAUGGGUAAUAUUGAUUAUUUCUUCCUUUUAUUUUUGUUGGAAUGGUAAAUUGUUGGAAAGGUGAGCAUGAAACAUAAAUUGAAAGUGCUCCUAAUUUAGGGUUUUUGGGUAUAGGCCGAACUGCAAAGGCAGGGCCCAUUGGGCCACAUUGGAAGAA
Molecule: non-coding RNA, 664 nt
Organism: Malus domestica (apple)
Lineage: Eukaryota; Viridiplantae; Streptophyta; Magnoliopsida; Rosales; Rosaceae
Source: RefSeq, a predicted model, not a curated record